This 485-nucleotide ribosomal RNA is filed under the name uncultured bacterium. RNAcentral describes it as "partial 16S ribosomal RNA". It matches the Rfam family "Bacterial small subunit ribosomal RNA", at positions 28 to 523 of the family's 1533-position model. The record is from RNAcentral.
GACGAACGCUGGCGGCGUGCUUAACACAUGCAAGUCGAACGGUGAAAGCGGAGCUUGCUCCGCUGGAUCAGUGGCGAACGGGUGAGUAACACGUGGGCAACCUGCCCCUCACUUCGGGAUAACUCCGGGAAACCGGGGCUAAUACCGGAUAUGACCUCCUUGGGCAUCCUUGGAGGUGGAAAGUUUUUCGGUGAGGGAGGGGCCCGCGGCCUAUCAGCUUGUUGGUGAGGUAGUGGCUCACCAAGGAGACGACGGGUAGCCGGCCUGAGAGGGGGACCGGCCACACUGGGACUGAGACAUGGCCCAGACUCCUACGGGAGGCAGCAGUGGGGAAUAUUGCGCAAUGGGCGAAAGCCUGACGCAGCAACGCCGCGUGCGGGAUGAGGGCCUUCGGGUUGUAAACCGCUUUCAGCAGGGAAGAAGCCGCAAGGUGAUGGUACCUGCAGAAGAAGCACCGGCUAACUACGUGCCAGCCGCCGCGGUAA